Molecule: ribosomal RNA, 108 nt
Filed under: Caerostris darwini
Lineage: Eukaryota; Metazoa; Arthropoda; Arachnida; Araneae; Araneidae
Source: RNAcentral
AACGGCCGUACCAUGCUGAAUAUACCGGUUCUCGUUAGAUCACCGAAGUUAAGCAUCAUUGGGCGCGGUCAGUACUUGGGUGGGUGACCACCUGGGAACACCGCGUGC